GACGAACGCUGGCGGCGCGCCUAACACAUGCAAGUCGAACGAGCGAGAGAGAGCUUGCUUUCUCGAGCGAGUGGCGAACGGGUGAGUAACGCGUGAGGAACCUGCCUCAAAGAGGGGGCCAACAGUUGGAAACGACUGCUAAUACCGCAUAAGCCCACGGGUCGGCAUCGACCAGAGGGAAAAGGAGCAAUCCGCUUUGAGAUGGCCUCGCGUCCGAUUAGCUAGUUGGUGAGGUAAUGGCCCACCAAGGCGACGAUCGGUAGCCGGACUGAGAGGUUGAACGGCCACAUUGGGACUGAGACACGGCCCAGACUCCUACGGGAGGCAGCAGUGGGGAAUAUUGCACAAUGGGGGAAACCCUGAUGCAGCGACGCCGCGUGGAGGAAGAAGGUCUUCGGAUUGUAAACUCC
This 410-nucleotide ribosomal RNA is filed under the name uncultured bacterium. RNAcentral describes it as "bacterial SSU rRNA". It matches the Rfam family "Bacterial small subunit ribosomal RNA", at positions 28 to 433 of the family's 1533-position model. The record is from RNAcentral.